This 253-nucleotide ribosomal RNA is filed under the name uncultured bacterium. RNAcentral's name for it is "partial 16S ribosomal RNA". It matches the Rfam family "Bacterial small subunit ribosomal RNA", at positions 524 to 776 of the family's 1533-position model. The record is from RNAcentral.
UACAGAGGACCCGAGCGUUGUUCGGAUUCAUUGGGCGUAAAGGGUGCGUAGGCGGUAGAGUAAGUCUGAUGUGAAAUCCCAGGGCUCAACCCUGGAACUGCAUUGGAUACUGCUUUGCUUGAGUACUGGAGAGGGAACUGGAAUUUACGGUGUAGCAGUGAAAUGCGUAGAGAUCGUAAGGAAGGCCAGUGGCGAAGGCGAGUUCCUGGACAGUUACUGACGCUGAGGCACGAAGGCCAGGGGAGCAAACGGG